Molecule: ribosomal RNA, 253 nt
Filed under: uncultured bacterium
Lineage: Bacteria
Description: partial 16S ribosomal RNA
Rfam family: Bacterial small subunit ribosomal RNA
Source: RNAcentral
UACAGAGGUCUCAAGCGUUGUUCGGAUUCAUUGGGCGUAAAGGGCGCGUAGGCGGCGCGGUAAGUCGGGUGUGAAAUCUCGGAGCUUAACUCCGAAACUGCAUUCGAUACUGCCGUGCUUGAGGACUGGAGAGGAGACUGGAAUUUACGGUGUAGCGGUGAAGUGCGUAGAUAUCGUAAGGAAGACCAGUGGCGAAGGCGGGUCUCUGGACAGUUCCUGACGCUGAGGCACGAAGGUCAGGGGAGCAAACGGG